UGACAGUUAUCUCCUGCUGUAGGAGGCAUUG
Molecule: non-coding RNA, 31 nt
Filed under: Mus musculus (house mouse)
Lineage: Eukaryota; Metazoa; Chordata; Mammalia; Rodentia; Muridae
Source: RNAcentral